This 1499-nucleotide long non-coding RNA is filed under the name Ovis aries (sheep). Its description in RNAcentral is "lncRNA (ENSOARG00000026984.1)". The record is from RNAcentral. Lineage: Eukaryota; Metazoa; Chordata; Mammalia; Artiodactyla; Bovidae.
UUUAUUUAUAUUCUCCAGAGCUAAUAGUUACUUUUAGAGAAUUCUUUUAAUAGUAGCUAUUAUUAGCAAAGGGAAAAAAUUGAAAAUUAGGGGUAUUUUUUUCUGAGAAUUUCUACGUAAAAUAUGUACGAAUUAACUUAGGUGAAACCCUGACUGAAAACACAGAGGGCGUUUUUAUGCCUUCUUUAGUUCUUUUCAUUCAGUGAGGAGUCGUUUUCAUAUUGCUUUGGGGAUGAAAGAGAGAAAGAGAUGGAGUGAGAGGGUGGAGAAGGGAGGAGUGAUCAGUGGGUGUAAAGCGACUGAAAAGCGGCCAGUUGACUAGCUUAUCUUUCUGGGUAUUUAGAAUGGAGUAGAAGCAGUCACGCCCACAUUUCACUCACAUCAGGAUCACUCAGAUUGCUUCAAAAACCCGAGGCUCCUGCAGCGAAGCAGCCUUGCACACCAGGCAGGACCCCCUGCCCAGGCGAGGAUGGUUCGGGUGGCAGCUACCCAGAUUUACCAUCAUCUCAUCUAAAGAGCUGGAAGGAGGCGUGAACCACUCUCCAGACAUUUUCCACAGAAGGGAACUUCCAGGGCCAGCUUGCAUUGCUCCAGCUAUGAGCUACAUGGGCCAACAACGGCAUCAAAGACUAGCUUCUAGGAGAGCUCACAGAAACCCACAUGAAAUGGCCGUGGGAACUCAGCGCCUCCCAUGGAGCCCGGGACGGAUGCGUGUGGAUGAAAACAUCUGUAUUUGCGGUGGAUGGGAAGGAGAUCUCUGGUAUAUUUAGAAUUUAUCCUGGUGUGUGAUGAGGCUUCAGCCACGAAUUUGACACUUACUCCUUGGAAGUAAAGCUAUGGCAAACACAGACAGCAUAUUAAAAACAGAGACAUCACUUUGCCAACAACAUUCUGUAUAGCUAAGGCUAUAGUUUUAGAUGUGAGAGUUGGACCGCAAAGAACACUGAGUACUGAAGAACCUAUGCUUUCAAAUUGUGGUGCUUGAGAAGACUUGAGAGUCCCUUGGACUGCAAGGAGAUCAAACCAGUCAAUCCUAAAGGAAAUUAACCCUGAAUAUUCAUUGGAGGGACUGAUGCUGAAGCUGAAACUCCAAUACUUUGGUCACCUGAUGUGAAGACUCACUUGAAAAUAGCCAAUGAGUUAUUGGAAACUGACUCAUUGGAAAAUAACCUGGUACUGGGAAAGAUUGAAGGCAAAAGGAGAAGGGCAUGACAGAGGAUGUGAUGGUUAUCUAGCAGCACCAACUCAACAGAAAUGAGUCUGAGCAAACUCUGGGAGAUGGUGAAGGACAGGGACGCCUGGUGCGCUGCAGUCCAGGGCGUCUCAAGCAGUUGGAUAGGACUUAGCUACUGAUCAACAACAACACCAUGAAACAAACUGACCCAAUAGAAUCUUUUUCAAUCUGGUGGUUUAUCCCACUAGUGUAACGCCAGUUCUUAAAAAGCUCAAUUUUUCCUACCAAUUUAAAAUGGUAACUUUACCAUAUAAUUCAUUUUGCC